GACGUAGGGUGCGAGCGUUGUCCGGACUUAUUGGGCGUAAAGAGCUCGUAGGCGGCUCGUCGCGUCGACCGUGAAAACUUGGGGCUUAACCCUAAGCUUGCGGUUGAUACGGGCGGGCUAGAGUUCGGUAGGGGAGACUGGAAUUCCUGGUGUAGCGGUGAAAUGCGCAGAUAUCAGGAGGAACACCGGUGGCGAAGGCGGGUCUCUGGGCCGAUACUGACGCUGAGGAGCGAAAGCGUGGGGAGCGAACAGG
This 253-nucleotide ribosomal RNA is filed under the name uncultured bacterium. RNAcentral's name for it is "partial 16S ribosomal RNA". It matches the Rfam family "Bacterial small subunit ribosomal RNA", at positions 524 to 776 of the family's 1533-position model. The record is from RNAcentral.